Small nuclear RNA from Myotis lucifugus (little brown bat), 191 nucleotides. Its record names the gene U2. It matches the Rfam family "U2 spliceosomal RNA". Rfam says of the family: U2 is a small nuclear RNA (snRNA) component of the spliceosome (involved in pre-mRNA splicing). Complementary binding between U2 snRNA (in an area lying towards the 5' end but 3' to hairpin I) and the branchpoint sequence (BPS) of the intron results the bulging out of an unpaired adenosine, on the BPS, which initiates a nucleophilic attack at the intronic 5' splice site, thus starting the first of two transesterification reactions that mediate splicing. The record is from Ensembl. Lineage: Eukaryota; Metazoa; Chordata; Mammalia; Chiroptera; Vespertilionidae.
AUCACUUCUCAGCCUUUUGGCUAAGAUCAAGUGUAGUAUCUGUUCUUAUCAGUGUAAUAUCUGAUAUGUCCUCUAUCUAAGAACAAUAUAUUAAAUGGAUUUUUGGAGCAGGGAGAUGGAAUAGAAGCUUGCUCCAUUCACUCCAUGUAUCAACCCAGUAUUGCAGUACCUCUGGGAAUGGUGAAUCAAAA